RNA transcript from Phoenix dactylifera (date palm), 5425 nucleotides. It is a transcript of the gene named protein phosphatase 2C and cyclic nucleotide-binding/kinase domain-containing protein, with no coding region annotated. Lineage: Eukaryota; Viridiplantae; Streptophyta; Magnoliopsida; Arecales; Arecaceae. The record is from RefSeq and is a predicted model, not a curated record.
CUUCUAAGAAAAGAAAAGGAAGGGCAUGCAUCUAUCAGUAGACCACACGUGGGAGCUUCUACUCUCCACCGGUUCUUUUCAUGUGGUAAAGGACAUAAAAGCGUCCCAUGAUCGGACCGUGCAGAGAAAGCAGAAGGCCAACAAAAAGUCUCACCCGGAAUUGGAUGAGGCUGGGCGGGACGGGGAGAGAGAGAAGUUUUGAGGCUGAGAACGUAAACAUCAUGAGGAGCUCGGAAGUCAUCAAAAUAAAUAGCAGGCCGGCAGGAGAAUUUAUGCCUGUGGUGCAUCAUACCGUUGAUUGAGGCGGGACCGCCGAUCUGAUGGCUGGCAGUGACCCGCGAUAAACUGAUAUGGGGACGUUGAGGGCUGGGGUGAGGUGCGGUUAUUGUUAAGUCGGUACGGGAAAUCUAUUGUUGCCUUUUGUGGAUUCCCACUGCUCCUCCUUGAGAUCGUUGGCGAAUUCUUUGAUCUGGGCUACUUUUAUUGGAAGUCCGUGAUCCAAAAAGAAAAUUCCAUCCUUAUCCACUGUAAGUGAUUUUUCUCAGUAUAUUUGUUCUUUCCUUGUACUGGUGGAUAGGACGUGAGAGCUUUAAAAAGGUGUGUUGGCGAAUUCUUUUGGUAGAAUUUGCGGAAAGUGGUGGUGGUGGUUUUGGGGAAGCUGAUGAAUUUUGUAUGCUUGGGAUUUAAGCUAUACCUAGAAUUUUAAGAAGCUCGUGGGGGAAAGCUGAUCUUUUUGGGGCCAGUUUUCUUGUCGAGUUGAUCAAGAUGAUGCUGGGGAUUUCUUGGAGUUGAAUAGGUGAAAUAUGUCCCGUCUUACUGAGUUUUUACUGAAUUUUGAUGAAAUGUUGGGAGAUUUUUGGAUCUGGGUUCAGUCUCAAUUGUGUCAGUGCGCUGUGCUUCUUGUUGUGAAUUGGUUUUCUUAGCGCUUUACAGAAGAUGUGAAUUGGAUUCCUUUGAAAAUUUUUGCCGAUUUCGUAGUUGGUAUCAAUAGAAAAAAUUUCUCAAGUUUGUAGGAGUUGUAUUUAGCAUAACAAAAAAAUAAUUUGGAUACUAACUUUGAUGAACUGGUUUGCUUCGUUGGGAUCUUAGAAAUCUGUAUGUAAAUCUUGCUGUUGGCAGAUGCUGUUUGAGUUUGUAAAUUUGGAAACAUCGAUACCUCGAAAUCCUGGAAGAGGCACAGGGUCAACAGUUCUGUACCUCUAAGAAAUCAGUGGUGCGGGGGAAAUUUCCUUUUGAUUAUGGCAGCCAGGAUUUGCUUCUUUCUGUAAACCGUAGUCAGAAUUGAGUUUGUGAAGCCAGAUUGUUGAAGUGGAGACGAUUUAUGAGUGUUCUUGCAACUCGGGCCUUUCUUUGCUUGUCCAUUGGGUUUGUCGACUGAUGGGGUGUUUGUAUUCAAAGGGCUGCAUUGGGCAAGUACCUGACUCCCCAACAGAAUACAGGGGGAACGGAAGCAGAAGGGGAGUCGCAGAUUCUGGUCUUUCUCCUGUUUUGUCAGAUGGACUGGAAGAAGAUGAUCAAGUGCAACAAUUGGGUAUAACAAGGGAUUCAGAUGUGGGUAUCAAUCGUCUCUCGAGGGUUUCAUCGCAGUUCCUUCCUCCGGAAGGGUCAAGGACAGUCAGGGUUCCAUCAGGGAACUAUGAUUUGCGAUACUCCUUCCUAUCUCAACGAGGAUAUUAUCCAGAGGCACUGGAUAAGCAGAACCAAGAUAGUUUCUGCAUUUACACCCCAUUUGGGACUAAUCCUAAUGAUCACUUCUUUGGUGUGUUUGAUGGGCAUGGGGAGUAUGGAGCUCAGUGCUCACAAUUUGUGAAGCGAAAAUUAUGUGAGAACUUGCUCGGGAACAGUCGGUUUCAUCUUGAUGCUGUUGAGGCUUGCAAUGCUGCUUUCUUAACAACAAAUUCACAGCUGCACUCUGAUAGCUUGGAUGAUACAAUGAGCGGGACCACUGCGAUAACCAUAUUGGUAAGGGGUAGAACAAUCUAUGUUGCAAAUGCAGGUGAUUCUAGGGCUGUGAUCGCAGAGAAGAGAGGGAAGGAUAUUGCGGCCGUGGACCUCUCUAUUGAUCAGACUCCUUUUCGAACUGAUGAACUUGAAAGGGUCAAACAUUGUGGAGCGAGGGUGCUGACUUUGGAUCAGAUAGAGGGGCUAAAGAACCCAGAUGUGCAGUGCUGGGGUACUGAAGAAGGUGAUGAUGGUGAUCCUCCAAGACUCUGGGUGCAGAGUGGGAUGUAUCCAGGGACGGCAUUCACACGGAGUAUUGGAGAUUCUAUUGCUGAAUCUAUUGGCGUUGUUGGAGUUCCUGAAAUAUUUGUUAUGGAGCUCAGUUCUAAUCAUCCAUUCUUUGUGAUUGCAAGUGAUGGGGUUUUUGAGUUUCUCUCCAGCCAAACUGUGGUUGACAUGGUUGCUAAGUUCAAGGAUCCUCGUGAUGCAUGCACUGCAAUUGUUGCUGAAUCCUAUCGCCUUUGGCUACAGUACGAAACUCGUACAGAUGACAUUACAAUCAUAGUUGUGCAUAUUAAUGGGCUAACUGAUAUGGAAUCUAUUCAAAAUAUUCCAGAUGUGCCUGUAAGACCAUUGCAACAAAUUGUGGAGGUGACAGGAUCCGAAUCUCCAUCCACCGUAAGCUGGAACUCCAGGAAUCAUCAUGCAAGGCAUGAUUUAUCACUUGCACGAUUGAAAGCCAUUGAGAGUUCCCUCGAGAAUGGUCAUGCUUGGAUUCCACCCGCUCCAUCCCAUAGGAAGACAUGGGAAGAAGAAGCACAUAUUGAGCGGGCAUUGCAUGGUCAUUUUCUUUUUAGAAGGCUCACGGAUUCUCAAUGCCAUGUUUUGCUUGAUUGCAUGCACAGAAUUGAAGUGAAGCGUGGGGAUGUAGUUGUCCAGCAGGGUGGAGAGGCUGACUGCUUUUACGUUGUUGGAAGUGGCGAGUUUGAAGUCCUAGCAACUCAGGAAGAGGAUGGGAAGGAAGUGACCAAGGUUCUGCAUCGCUAUACAGCUGAGAAACUGUCAUCCUUUGGGGAACUAUCAUUAAUGUAUAAUAAACCACUUCAGGCAUCUGUUCAUGCAGUGACUGAUGGAACCCUCUGGGCCUUAAAGCGUGAAGAUUUUCGAGGGAUACUAAUGUCAGAGUUUUCCAAUUUAUCAUUGCUGAAGUUGCUCAGAUCAGUAGAGCUUUUCUCAAGACUGACAAUUCUACAGCUGAGUCACAUUGCUGAUCAUCUCAUGGAAAUCACUUUCUCAGAUGGACAAAUAAUAAUUGAUAAGAAUAACUGUCUCUCUGCAUUGUAUAUUAUUCAAAAGGGUCGGGUGAGGCUAACUUAUAAACCAGAAGUAGUAAGUCCAAAUAUCUGCAGUUUUUUGUCUGCUCAUCUUGCACAAGGAAUUCACAGUCAAGAGCAGGACGAGCAUGUGGUGGAUAUGACAGAGGGAAGUUAUUUCGGCGAAUGGACACUUCUUGGUGAGCAUAUUAGCUUGUUAAGGGCAGUUUCUGUUGGUGAUGUGGUGUGUGCAGUUAUUACAAAGGAGUAUUUUGAUUCAGCCAUCAGGCCUUUGUUAAAUUUUUCGCAGGACAAUUGCAAGUUGAAAGAUUCUCUAGGUUCUUCUAAGGAAAGCACUGUAAAUACUGGUGCUGCAAUGCCCAUGAAGGUUCAGUUCUCUGAUUUGGAAUGGAGAAUGGGCAUUUAUGCGACUGAUUGUAGUGAAAUUGGUCUUGUCUUUGUAAAAAGUUCUGAAAAUAUGCGAAGCUUAAAAAGGUUUUCUAAAAAGAGAAUCAAAGAUCUUGGAAAAGAGGCACAGGUCUCGAAGGAGAAAGAUCUAAUGAAGAGUUUGAGCCCAUCAGCUUGUGUGCCACAAGUUAUAUGCACUUGUGCUGAUCAAUCAUAUGUUGGGAUUUUGCUUAACUGUUGCCUUGCCUGUUCAUUAGCUUCAAUAAUCCACACACCCCUAGAUGAACUCUCUGCGCGAUUCUGUGCUGCUUCUAUUGUUGUUGCUUUAGAAGAACUUCACAAGAAUUCUAUCCUUUAUAGAGGUGUUUCACCAGAGGUUCUGAUGUUUGAUCGAUCAGGGCAUCUGCAGCUGGUAGACUUCAGAUUUGCAAAGAAGUUACUUGGUGAAAGAACUUUCACUGUAUGUGGAAUAGCGGAAUCUUUAGCCCCAGAAAUAGUCCUAGGGAAAGGACAUGGAUUUGCUGUUGACUGGUGGGCUUUGGGAGUCUUGAUCUAUUUUAUGCUCCAAGCUGAAAUGCCAUUUGGGUCAUGGAGAGAUACAGAACUAGAGACAUUUGCAAAGAUUGCCAAAGGACAGCUGACUCUUCCCCAGACCUUCAGCCUAGAAGCGGUUGACCUCAUCACCAAGUUACUUGAAGUUGAUGAAAAUGCACGACUUGGAAGCCAAGGGCCUGAUUCCAUCAAAAAUCAUUCAUGGUUUGGUGAUCUUGACUGGAAGCGAAUUGCUGAUGGCACAUUUCCGAUACCACAGGGAAUUACUUCUCGUAUUGAUGUGUACUUGGAAAAUCAUGCAGAAGACAUCACCAUGCCUGCCUCCUCCUCAUCUCAAGAUCUAGCUGAUGUCGACACCCCAGAAUGGGUGGAGGAUUGGUGAUAUCUUCAGAAGAUAUCUUUGCAGGAUGGAGGAGAAUAUCAGGUGAAACUUUUGUUCUCACAAGCAAGUUUCACUCUGCAGUGAUCAUUAUUUGGUGGUCGGCCUGAAACCUCUUGGUGUCUCCCUGAUGAAUUUAGCUUAUGCCUCUUUAUCAUCUACAAAUGUAUAACUGAUAGAGGUAGAAAAUGGAGAGGAGUUCCUCGCCAGCGUAUCUUAUGCAACUUAAUUAUUGGAAAGCACCACUUCAUCGUGGAUGAUGUCAUAUGAUUGGUUCUCCGGAAUAGCUCUUUAGCAUGGUUUUGACAAAGAUGGUGCUUGCUGGAGUUUGGAUUGAGCACACUGCAUGUCCUGUCACAUAGCCGAGUUCAAAGAUCAGGGUUCUCGUGUAAGAUUUGCUGAAUGAGGUGUUUGUGUCACAUAUGCUUGCUUAUAGCAAAAGCAAAUUUGCCGCUCGUGCGAGACAAAUGAGUCAACUCAUGCUUUCUCGGUCAACUGCCAGGCUUUUGACCGUCCAGUCCCACGAGCCUUCGUAGAGGAGGCCCUCGGCGUGGUAGCAGGCGGCGCAGGUGAUGGUAUCGGGAUGCUGGUGGGAUUUUUUGGGCAGAAUCUUGUAGUAGUCAGCGGCAGGGUGGGGAGCUUCUUGGAUAUCAGAGCCGGUCCGGGACGGAGGCAGAGACGGACCGGACGCCGACCCGGUGGUUCAUAUUAACUAGGCGUAUGUUGGUUCUCGUGGUUGGGGCAUGUUUGGCUAAAUUCACACAAAAAGCACCAUCACUUGGAAAAGUCAAAAGUACCGAAAAGUUAAUGAAGUUCCAUAAUUCUUCAAAAA